RNAcentral lists this ribosomal RNA (1453 nucleotides) under Salmonella enterica. Its description in RNAcentral is "bacterial SSU rRNA". It matches the Rfam family "Bacterial small subunit ribosomal RNA". The record is from RNAcentral. Lineage: Bacteria; Pseudomonadati; Pseudomonadota; Gammaproteobacteria; Enterobacterales; Enterobacteriaceae.
UUGAACGCUGGCGGCAGGCCUAACACAUGCAAGUCGAACGGUAACAGGAAGCAGCUUGCUGCUUUGCUGACGAGUGGCGGACGGGUGAGUAAUGUCUGGGAAACUGCCUGAUGGAGGGGGAUAACUACUGGAAACGGUGGCUAAUACCGCAUAACGUCGCAAGACCAAAGAGGGGGACCUUCGGGCCUCUUGCCAUCAGAUGUGCCCAGAUGGGAUUAGCUUGUUGGUGAGGUAACGGCUCACCAAGGCGACGAUCCCUAGCUGGUCUGAGAGGAUGACCAGCCACACUGGAACUGAGACACGGUCCAGACUCCUACGGGAGGCAGCAGUGGGGAAUAUUGCACAAUGGGCGCAAGCCUGAUGCAGCCAUGCCGCGUGUAUGAAGAAGGCCUUCGGGUUGUAAAGUACUUUCAGCGGGGAGGAAGGUGUUGUGGUUAAUAACCGCAGCAAUUGACGUUACCCGCAGAAGAAGCACCGGCUAACUCCGUGCCAGCAGCCGCGGUAAUACGGAGGGUGCAAGCGUUAAUCGGAAUUACUGGGCGUAAAGCGCACGCAGGCGGUCUGUCAAGUCGGAUGUGAAAUCCCCGGGCUCAACCUGGGAACUGCAUUCGAAACUGGCAGGCUUGAGUCUUGUAGAGGGGGGUAGAAUUCCAGGUGUAGCGGUGAAAUGCGUAGAGAUCUGGAGGAAUACCGGUGGCGAAGGCGGCCCCCUGGACAAAGACUGACGCUCAGGUGCGAAAGCGUGGGGAGCAAACAGGAUUAGAUACCCUGGUAGUCCACGCCGUAAACGAUGUCUACUUGGAGGUUGUGCCCUUGAGGCGUGGCUUCCGGAGCUAACGCGUUAAGUAGACCGCCUGGGGAGUACGGCCGCAAGGUUAAAACUCAAAUGAAUUGACGGGGGCCCGCACAAGCGGUGGAGCAUGUGGUUUAAUUCGAUGCAACGCGAAGAACCUUACCUGGUCUUGACAUCCACAGAACUUUCCAGAGAUGGAUUGGUGCCUUCGGGAACUGUGAGACAGGUGCUGCAUGGCUGUCGUCAGCUCGUGUUGUGAAAUGUUGGGUUAAGUCCCGCAACGAGCGCAACCCUUAUCCUUUGUUGCCAGCGGUCCGGCCGGGAACUCAAAGGAGACUGCCAGUGAUAAACUGGAGGAAGGUGGGGAUGACGUCAAGUCAUCAUGGCCCUUACGACCAGGGCUACACACGUGCUACAAUGGCGCAUACAAAGAGAAGCGACCUCGCGAGAGCAAGCGGACCUCAUAAAGUGCGUCGUAGUCCGGAUUGGAGUCUGCAACUCGACUCCAUGAAGUCGGAAUCGCUAGUAAUCGUGGAUCAGAAUGCCACGGUGAAUACGUUCCCGGGCCUUGUACACACCGCCCGUCACACCAUGGGAGUGGGUUGCAAAAGAAGUAGGUAGCUUAACCUUCGGGAGGGCGCUUACCACUUUGUGAUUCAU